AGCUUUGUGCAAUGGCAGUAUUGUAGCCAAUAAGGUUUAUCUGAGGCGCAAUUAUUGCUAAUUGAAACCUGUUGGGUGUGGUGGUGCAUGCCUGUAGUCCCAGCACUUGGGGGUUGAGGCAGGAGGAUCGCCAUAAGUUCAGGGCCAGUCUGGGCUACAUCGUGAUUUCAAGGCCAGCCUGGGCUACAUAGCAAAACUUUGAGUCAAAAAUAAAUACAUAAAUAAAUAGAUAGAUAAUUUU
Heterocephalus glaber (naked mole-rat) is the source of this 241-nucleotide small nuclear RNA. Its record names the gene U4. It matches the Rfam family "U4 spliceosomal RNA". From Rfam's summary of the family: U4 small nuclear RNA (U4 snRNA) is a component of the major U2-dependent spliceosome. The structure of U4 snRNA from yeast and human has been reported. The record is from Ensembl. Lineage: Eukaryota; Metazoa; Chordata; Mammalia; Rodentia; Bathyergidae.